This 460-nucleotide ribosomal RNA is filed under the name uncultured bacterium. RNAcentral describes it as "partial 16S ribosomal RNA". It matches the Rfam family "Bacterial small subunit ribosomal RNA", at positions 338 to 795 of the family's 1533-position model. The record is from RNAcentral.
CCUACGGGUGGCAGCAGUGAGGAAUAUUGGUCAAUGGACGCAAGUCUGAACCAGCCAUGCCGCGUGCAGGAAGACGGCCCUAUGAGUUGUAAACUUCUUUUGUACGAGGGUAAACGCAGACACGCGUACCUGUCUGAAAGUAUUGUACGAAUAAGGAUCGGCUAACUCCGUGCCAGCAGCCGCGGUAAUACGGAGGAUUCGAGCGUUAUCCGGAUUUAUUGGGUUUAAAGGGUGCGUAGGUGGGCGGAUAAGUUAGUGGUGAAAGCCCGAGGCUCAACCGCGGAAUUGCCUUUGAUACUGUUCGUCUAGAGAGUAGUUGCGGUAGGCGGAAUGUAUGGUGUAGCGGUGAAAUGCUUAGAGAUCAUACAGAACACCGAUUGCGAAGGUAGCUUACCAAGCUACUUCUGACAUUGAGGCACGAAAGCGUGGGGAGCAAACAGGAUUAGAUACCCGGGUAGUC